This 203-nucleotide long non-coding RNA is filed under the name Spirodela polyrhiza (greater duckweed). Its description in RNAcentral is "long non-coding RNA (SPOL_LNC002533)". The record is from RNAcentral. Lineage: Eukaryota; Viridiplantae; Streptophyta; Magnoliopsida; Alismatales; Araceae.
CGGUUGGUGAGGUACGAGCGGUGGACCACGCAACAACCGACCACUUGAUGAAUUCGGAUCCUCCGGAAUUGUAGUUCAGUAAAGCGGCUCAUUUGAAAAUAAACUCGUUGGCAGAAGAAGAUGCGGGAAAAAAAUUCAGAUUGAGGGUUGGUCGCUGGUCAGUUUGCCAAUUUAAUCGAGUUCCAGUUCUUGUUCUAUUCCCC